GACGAGGGAUGCAAGCGUUAUCCGGAAUUACUGGGCGUAAAGGGCGUCUAGGCGGUUGGAUAAGUCAUUUGUGAAAUCCCAGGGCUUAACCCUGGAAGGUCUUGUGAUACUGUCCGGCUUGGGUGUAGGAGAGGAGAGCGGAACUCACAGAGUAGCGGUGGAAUGCGUAGAUACUGUGAGGUACCCCGAUGGCGAAGGCAGCUCUCUGGCCUACUACCGACGCUGAAGCGCGAAAGCGUGGGGAGCAAAGGGGAUUAGAUACCCGUGUA
RNAcentral lists this ribosomal RNA (269 nucleotides) under uncultured prokaryote. Its description in RNAcentral is "partial 16S ribosomal RNA". It matches the Rfam family "Bacterial small subunit ribosomal RNA", at positions 524 to 792 of the family's 1533-position model. The record is from RNAcentral.